RNAcentral lists this ribosomal RNA (253 nucleotides) under uncultured bacterium. RNAcentral's name for it is "partial 16S ribosomal RNA". It matches the Rfam family "Bacterial small subunit ribosomal RNA", at positions 524 to 776 of the family's 1533-position model. The record is from RNAcentral.
GACGUAGGGUGCGAGCGUUGUCCGGAAUUAUUGGGCGUAAAGAGCUCGUAGGUGGUUUGUCGCGUUGUCCGUGAAAACUCACAACUCAAUUGUGGGCGUGCGGGCGAUACGGGCAGACUGGAGUACUGCAGGGGAGACUGGAAUUCCUGGUGUAGCGGUGGAAUGCGCAGAUAUCAGGAGGAACACCGGUGGCGAAGGCGGGUCUCUGGGCAGUAACUGACGCUGAGGAGCGAAAGCGUGGGGAGCGAACAGG